CAAUAGCGUAUAUUAACGUUGUUGCAGUUAAAAAGCUCGUAGUUGGAUUUCUGGAGGGAGCGUCGUCCCGUAUUUACGAGUGCGUGACGUCUCUGUCCAUCCUUGCGGGAAGGCACGGCAUUGAUUUGUUGUGUCGGAUCGCAUCAUUUACUGUGAAAAAAUUAGAGUGUUCAAAGCAGGCUUUCGCUUGAAUACAUUAGCAUGGAAUAAUAAGAUAGGACUUUGGUGCUAUUUUGUUGGUUGAGCCUAAAGUAAUGAUUAAUAGGGAUAGUUGGGGGCACCUGUAUUGCGUUGUCAGAGGUGAAAUUCUUGGAUUUACGCAAGACAAACAGCUGCGAAAGCGUCUGCCAAGGAUGUUUUCAUUAA
Molecule: ribosomal RNA, 366 nt
Filed under: uncultured eukaryote
Lineage: Eukaryota
Description: partial 18S ribosomal RNA
Rfam family: Eukaryotic small subunit ribosomal RNA
Source: RNAcentral